GACGAACGCUGGCGGCGUGCUUAACACAUGCAAGUCGAACGGAAAGGCCCUGCUUUUGUGGGGUGCUCGAGUGGCGAACGGGUGAGUAACACGUGAGUAACCUGCCCUUGACUUUGGGAUAACUUCAGGAAACUGGGGCUAAUACCGGAUAGGAGCUCCUGCUGCAUGGUGGGGGUUGGAAAGUUUCGGCGGUUGGGGAUGGACUCGCGGCUUAUCAGCUUGUUGGUGGGGUAGUGGCUUACCAAGGCUUUGACGGGUAGCCGGCCGGAGAGGGUGACCGGCCACAUUGGGACUGAGAGACGGCCCAGACUGCUACGGGAGGCAGCAGUGGGGAAUAUUGCACAAUGGGCGGAAGACUGAUGCAGGAACGCCGCGUGCGGGAUGACGGCCUUCGGGUGGUAAACCGCUUUCGCCUGUGACGAAGCGUGAGUGACGGUAAUGGGUAAAGAAGCACCGGCUAACUACGUG
RNAcentral lists this ribosomal RNA (468 nucleotides) under uncultured bacterium. Its description in RNAcentral is "partial 16S ribosomal RNA". It matches the Rfam family "Bacterial small subunit ribosomal RNA", at positions 28 to 507 of the family's 1533-position model. The record is from RNAcentral.